RNAcentral lists this ribosomal RNA (429 nucleotides) under Chloroflexota bacterium. Its description in RNAcentral is "Chloroflexi bacterium partial 16S ribosomal RNA". It matches the Rfam family "Bacterial small subunit ribosomal RNA", at positions 355 to 776 of the family's 1533-position model. Lineage: Bacteria; Bacillati; Chloroflexota. The record is from RNAcentral.
UGGGGAAUAUUGCACAAUGGGCGCAAGCCUGAUGCAGCCAUGCCGCGUGUAUGAAGAAUGCCUUCGGGUUGUAAAGUACUUUCAGCGGGGAGGAAGGGAGUAAAGUUAAUACCUUUGCUCAUUGACGUUACCCGCAGAAGAAGCACCGGCUAACUCCGUGCCAGCAGCCGCGGUAAUACGGAGGGUGCAAGCGUUAAUCGGAAUUACUGGGCGUAAAGCGCACGCAGGCGGUUUGUUAAGUCAGAUGUGAAAUCCUCGGGCUCAACCUGGGAACUGCAUCUGAUACUGGCAAGCUUGAGUCUCGUAGAGGGGGGUAGAAUUCCAGGUGUAGCGGUGAAAUGCGUAGAGAUCUGGAGGAAUACCGGUGGCGAAGGCGGCCCCCUGGACGAAGACUGACGCUCAGGUGCGAAAGCGUGGGGAGCAAACAGG